Molecule: ribosomal RNA, 1149 nt
Filed under: Penicillium sp.
Lineage: Eukaryota; Fungi; Ascomycota; Eurotiomycetes; Eurotiales; Aspergillaceae
Description: SSU rRNA
Rfam family: Eukaryotic small subunit ribosomal RNA
Source: RNAcentral
AGUAUAAGCAACUUGUACUGUGAAACUGCGAAUGGCUCAUUAAAUCAGUUAUCGUUUAUUUGAUAGUACCUUACUACAUGGAUACCUGUGGUAAUUCUAGAGCUAAUACAUGCUAAAAACCCCGACUUCAGGAAGGGGUGUAUUUAUUAGAUAAAAAACCAACGCCCUUCGGGGCUCCUUGGUGAAUCAUAAUAACUUAACGAAUCGCAUGGCCUUGCGCCGGCGAUGGUUCAUUCAAAUUUCUGCCCUAUCAACUUUCGAUGGUAGGAUAGUGGCCUACCAUGGUGGCAACGGGUAACGGGGAAUUAGGGUUCGAUUCCGGAGAGGGAGCCUGAGAAACGGCUACCACAUCCAAGGAAGGCAGCAGGCGCGCAAAUUACCCAAUCCCGAUACGGGGAGGUAGUGACAAUAAAUACUGAUACGGGGCUCUUUUGGGUCUCGUAAUUGGAAUGAGAACAAUUUAAAUCCCUUAACGAGGAACAAUUGGAGGGCAAGUCUGGUGCCAGCAGCCGCGGUAAUUCCAGCUCCAAUAGCGUAUAUUAAAGUUGUUGCAGUUAAAAAGCUCGUAGUUGAACCUUGGGUCUGGCUGGCCGGUCCGCCUCACCGCGAGUACUGGUCCGGCUGGACCUUUCCUUCUGGGGAACCUCAUGGCCUUCACUGGCUGUGGGGGGAACCAGGACUUUUACUGUGAAAAAAUUAGAGUGUUCAAAGCAGGCCUUUGCUCGAAUACAUUAGCAUGGAAUAAUAGAAUAGGACGUGUGGUUCUAUUUUGUUGGUUUCUAGGACCGCCGUAAUGAUUAAUAGGGAUAGUCGGGGGCGUCAGUAUUCAGCUGUCAGAGGUGAAAUUCUUGGAUUUGCUGAAGACUAACUACUGCGAAAGCAUUCGCCAAGGAUGUUUUCAUUAAUCAGGGAACGAAAGUUAGGGGAUCGAAGACGAUCAGAUACCGUCGUAGUCUUAACCAUAAACUAUGCCGACUAGGGAUCGGACGGGAUUCUAUAAUGACCCGUUCGGCACCUUACGAGAAAUCAAAGUUUUUGGGUUCUGGGGGGAGUAUGGUCGCAAGGCUGAAACUUAAAGAAAUUGACGGAAGGGCACCACAAGGCGUGGAGCCUGGCGGCUUAAUUUGACUCAACACCGGGGAAACUCAC